This 315-nucleotide long non-coding RNA is filed under the name Lotus japonicus. Its description in RNAcentral is "long non-coding RNA (LJAP_LNC002172)". Lineage: Eukaryota; Viridiplantae; Streptophyta; Magnoliopsida; Fabales; Fabaceae. The record is from RNAcentral.
GGUAACCUACAAGACUUGCAAGUUGGUGACCUCAACUUGAAUACUUUCCUCUUCACCUUUUCUGAUGCCAACCUUGCUACGAGAAUCUUGGCUGAGGGUCCCUGGAACAUCAUGGGAAACUUGCUUAGUCUACAGUUCUGGGACCCUCAGAUCUCAAUGGCUGAAGUGCACUUUAACUUGGUACCUUUUUGGACUCAGUUCCAUGGGUUACCAAUGGAAUUUAUGUCAUUGACAAAUGUCUCCAAGCUUGCUGCUGCAGUUGGGAAUCUUCUGGAAAUAGAGGACCCAAAGAUGAAGGGCUGCCUUUUGCGAACU